CUGCCAUUUAUAUAAUUUAUAUGCAAACAAUUCAAAUAUCUACCAACCUACUUUGAUUCAUAGAACUCCUCCGCUUUCGUGCCGAUGAAGUAUCUAAAUCUGACAAAAUCUCCACUGAGAUUUCAUCUCCAUCAUCCUCACCAUUGUUCUCGGUCUCCAAAUCCCGAAGCCCUCCUAAAAAGUUUACAUCCGGAAGCCAUCCCUUGGUUUUCUGCAUCAACAAUGGGUAUCUCAAACAAAUUACUCUUCAAAUAGCCAAGAUUAAAUGAUGUAUAAUAAAACUAAUAGUAGUGGUAUACUCUGCAUAUAGUUCUCGGCAUCAUUAUCUUGAAACUCUGUUGUCCCUUUCUCAGCAU
This 356-nucleotide long non-coding RNA is filed under the name Linum usitatissimum (flax). RNAcentral describes it as "long non-coding RNA (LUSI_LNC003404)". The record is from RNAcentral. Lineage: Eukaryota; Viridiplantae; Streptophyta; Magnoliopsida; Malpighiales; Linaceae.